Molecule: ribosomal RNA, 1440 nt
Filed under: uncultured organism
Description: SSU rRNA
Rfam family: Bacterial small subunit ribosomal RNA
Source: RNAcentral
CUAUCUACAGGCUUAACACAUGCAAGUCGAGGGGCAGCAUGGUCUUAGCUUGCUAAGGCCGAUGGCGACCGGCGCACGGGUGAGUAACGCGUAUCCAACCUGCCUUACACUCUUGGACAGCCUUCUGAAAGGGAGAUUAAUACAAGAUGUUAUCAUGAGUAAGCAUUUUCACAUGAUUAAAGGUUUACCGGUGUAAGAUGGGGAUGCGUUCCAUUAGAUAGUAGGCGGGGUAACGGCCCACCUAGUCUUCGAUGGAUAGGGGUUCUGAGAGGAAGGUCCCCCACAUUGGAACUGAGACACGGUCCAAACUCCUACGGGAGGCAGCAGUGAGGAAUAUUGGUCAAUGGACGAGAGUCUGAACCAGCCAAGUAGCGUGAAGGAUGAAGGUUCUAUGGAUUGUAAACUUCUUUUAUACGGGAAUAAACGAAUCCACGUGUGGAUUUUUGCAUGUACCGUAUGAAUAAGGAUCGGCUAACUCCGUGCCAGCAGCCGCGGUAAUACGGAGGAUCCGAGCGUUAUCCGGAUUUAUUGGGUUUAAAGGGAGCGUAGAUGGGUUGUUAAGUCAGUUGUGAAAGUUUGCGGCUCAACCGUAAAAUUGCAAUUGAUACUGGCAGUCUUGAGUACAGUUGAGGUAGGCGGAAUUCGUGGUGUAGCGGUGAAAUGCUUAGAUAUCACGAAGAACUCCGAUUGCGAAGGCAGCUUACUAACCUGUAACUGACAUUGAUGCUCGAAAGUGUGGGUAUCAAACAGGAUUAGAUACCCUGGUAGUCCACACGGUAAACGAUGAAUACUCGCUGUAGGCGAUAUACAGUCUGCGGCCAAGCGAAAGCAUUAAGUAUUCCACCUGGGGAGUACGCCGGCAACGGUGAAACUCAAAGGAAUUGACGGGGGCCCGCACAAGCGGAGGAACAUGUGGUUUAAUUCGAUGAUACGCGAGGAACCUUACCCGGGCUUAAAUUGCAACCGAAUAUGGCGGAAACGCUAUAGCUAGCAAUAGCGGUUGUGAAGGUGCUGCAUGGUUGUCGUCAGCUCGUGCCGUGAGGUGUCGGCUUAAGUGCCAUAACGAGCGCAACCCUUGCCGAUAGUUACUAACAGGUUAUGCUGAGGACUCUGUCGGGACUGCCAUCGUAAGAUGUGAGGAAGGUGGGGAUGACGUCAAAUCAGCACGGCCCUUACGUCCGGGGCUACACACGUGUUACAAUGGGGGGUACAGAGGGCUGCUACCACGCAAGUGGAUGCCAAUCCCAAAAACCUCUCUCAGUUCGGAUUGGAGUCUGCAACCCGACUUCAUGAAGCUGGAUUCGCUAGUAAUCGCGCAUCAGCCACGGCGCGGUGAAUACGUUCCCGGGCCUUGUACACACCGCCCGUCAAGCCAUGGGAGCCGGGGGUACCUGAAGUGCGUAACCGCAAGGAGCGCCCUAGGGUAAAACUGGUGACUGG